RNAcentral lists this ribosomal RNA (380 nucleotides) under uncultured bacterium. Its description in RNAcentral is "bacterial SSU rRNA". It matches the Rfam family "Bacterial small subunit ribosomal RNA", at positions 425 to 796 of the family's 1533-position model. The record is from RNAcentral.
GNAANCUGCUUUUGUNCGGAACGAAAAGGCCCUGGUGAACAACCGGGGUUGCUGACGGUACCGUAAGAAUAAGCACCGGCUAACUACGUGCCAGCAGCCGCGGUAAUACGUAGGGUGCGAGCGUUAAUCGGAAUUACUGGGCGUAAAGCGUGCGCAGGCGGACAUGCAAGACAGAUGUGAAAUCCCCGGGCUCAACCUGGGAACUGCAUAUGUGACUGUAUGACUGGAGUACGGCAGAGGGGGAUGGAAUUCCGCGUGUAGCAGUGAAAUGCGUAGAUAUGCCGGAGGAACACCGAUGGCGAAGGCAAUCCCCUGGGCCAGUACUGACGCUCAUGCACGAAAGCGUGGGGAGCAAACAGGAUUAGAUACCCUGGUAGUCC